RNAcentral lists this unclassified non-coding RNA (241 nucleotides) under plant metagenome. Its description in RNAcentral is "partial contains small subunit ribosomal RNA, internal transcribed spacer 1, and 5.8S ribosomal RNA". The stretch from base 1 to 53 matches the Rfam family "Eukaryotic small subunit ribosomal RNA", at positions 1779 to 1831 of the family's 1831-position model. The record is from RNAcentral.
GGAAUAAAAGUCGUAACAAGGUUUCCGUAGGUGAACCUGCGGAAGGAUCAUUGCAGAGUUCAUGCCCUCACGGGUAGAUCUCCCACCCUUGAAUAUUUAUACCUUAGUUGCUUUGGCAGGCCGUGGAAACACCAUGGGCUCCGGCUUAUGCGUGCCUGCCAGAGGAAACAAACUCUGUUUUUAGUGAUGUCUGAGUACUAUAUAAUAGUUAAAACUUUCAACAACGGAUCUCUUGGUUCUG